CUUUGACCAGGGCGCAUGUGUGGAAUGUCAGGAACGCCCACUAUUAGAUAACACGUGUAAGAGAUACAUUUUAGUUUAAUAAUUGGAUGUAAUAGUUGUAUCCUCUGUAUACAUAUGGAAUACGUCAUUUGUGGUAUAUAUUCUUUGUUCUCUUGUAAACGUUUGCUCAGUUGGGUAUUCCAAGACUAUUGUCUGACUGAGACAUUUGCAGCUGCAAAUAAAUCAAUGUUGCUUCAUGGAAUCCCUCUCCAUUCUCUUAUGUGCUUCUCAAAUAGGAGCUGCAACAAUGUCUCUCAGUGCCCCCAUGUGUCAGUGUCCCCGGGUCUCUCAGUAUCCCCUAGUAUCCUAGUGACACGGGACACACUAAGACAUGGGGACACUGACACUGUGAUACAUGGGGACACUGAUGCCAGGCUGGCCUUCCAAUUCUU
Pelobates cultripes (western spadefoot toad) is the source of this 431-nucleotide non-coding RNA. Lineage: Eukaryota; Metazoa; Chordata; Amphibia; Anura; Pelobatidae. The record is from the annotation of a GenBank genome assembly.